RNAcentral lists this unclassified non-coding RNA (3605 nucleotides) under Agrilus planipennis (emerald ash borer). Its description in RNAcentral is "irregular chiasm C-roughest protein, transcript variant X4". Lineage: Eukaryota; Metazoa; Arthropoda; Insecta; Coleoptera; Buprestidae. The record is from RNAcentral.
CUUCCUUAUCUGACGCGAUUGAUCGCGGCUCGGUCGUUCUCUGUCGUCGGUGCGGUAGUUCGUUGUGGUAGUAGGUUUACGGUAGUGACGACGGAGAGAGGACGAAUCGGUUGUCGGCGAGAGCGACAAGGACGCCGACGACUUGUUUGCAGCAGCAGCAGGAAGCGUGCAAGCGAAGCAGGGACCGCUGCGUAUACCGCUGCGUCGAUUUAGUUUCUCCUGUGCGCUGGAGCGUCGUGUUAGCCUGGCUUGGUUGUCCCCGGCGCCCCUGUCUGUCGAUAUUUUCCAUUCUUAACACGAAGACCCCCGGACAAAGUGCGAUACCGACGUCGACGAUGAUUAAUAUUAAUAACAACAGUAAAAAACGCUACAACAUCGCAAAAUAGAGUCGAGUGCUUCUAAUCCUGAAAUAAUACAGAUACAGACGUUGCGUUCUUCUUCCGUCUUCAUCCCCUGCAAUUUUUUUUUGACGGCGUGAAACAAGUGCCGCUAUAGCGAGCGAGUGUUAGUUUGUUUGCUGAUUUAUUUCGGAUCUGGAUUUUGUGAAGUACCUAUAGCAUUUUUUUUAAAAAACGUGAAUGUUGUGCACCCGAAAUGACGACGCGUCGCCGUCUCCUCGUUGUCGCCGACGUCUUCUAAAUCCCAAACAGAAACGAUUUGCUUAUUAUUAUUGCUUCUCCUGCUGACGGUGGUGUUUUAAGGAUAAUCCCCAAAAAUGAUUAUAAGGAAAGAUAAUCUUAUAAUUAUUUGGCUGUGUGUUCUCUCGUCGGUGAUGGGGUACGAAGAACAAAAGUUCGCGAUGGAACCCCAAGAUCAGACGGCGGUGGUUGGUUCCCGGGUUACCCUACCGUGUCGGGUAACCGGUAAGUCGGGAAUUUUGCAAUGGACCAAAGACGAUUUUGGACUGGGAACGCACAGAAAUCUGAGCGGAUUCGAUCGAUAUACGAUGAUAGGAAGCGACGAAGAAGGUGAUUUUUCUUUGGACAUCUACCCGGUGAUGUUGGACGACGAUGCACGUUAUCAGUGUCAGGUGUCACCGGGUCCGCUGGGUCAGCCGGGCAUUCGGAGCAAAUUUGCCACGUUGACGGUGUACGUUCCGCCCGAUCCUCCCCGAAUAGUCCAGGGGAAGCACCUGAUCACGACGGAGGACCGGGAAAUAGAACUCGAAUGCAUAAGCUACGGUGGGAAGCCUGCAGCUGAAAUAACUUGGAUUGACGGACAUGGUAACGUGCUGACCGAUGGCAUCGAAUACAUCGUCGAAGAAUUGUCCGAUGGCAGAAGAUUCACGGCGAAAUCUAUACUCAAACUUACGCCGAAAAAAGAACAUCACAACACCACGUUUACGUGCCAAGCACAGAAUACGGCAGAGAGGACGCAUCGAUCUGCAAAACUUUCUCUAGAGGUGAAAUACGCUCCGAAAGUGACGGUGUCAAUUGUGUCGGAAACGUCGUCGAAUGGCAGAAUAUUAGAAGGUAGCGAUGUGAGGUUGAAAUGUAACGCGGACGCAAAUCCCCCGGAUCUCACGUACAGGUGGUUUUUAAACGACGAGCUCGUCGUAGGCGAUUACACCACCGAACUACUCUUACACAACGUCACGCGAAAGUACCACGAUUCCAUGGUCAAAUGCGAGGUCCACAAUCCGGUCGGUAAAAGCGAAGAGAGCGAAACUUUGGACAUUAGCUAUGCUCCAUACUUUCGAAAUAAACCAAAGUCAGUGCAGGCCGAUUUAGGAAGUACAAAGACUAUUACGUGUGAUGUGGACGGUAAUCCUCUGCCGGAAAUAACGUGGAUAAAGGAAGACACGAACGAGGUGGUCAGCAACAACCCCAACUUAACAGUAAAAGUAGAGAGAAAAACUGCAGGACGAUAUCUUUGCAAGGCGCACAUCCCAGGAUUUCCCGAUGUCGAAGCAAGUGCCGCCAUCUACCUCAAGGGUCCUCCGAAUAUCAUAAGUCGUAGGACCCAGUUUGGUAUAGAAGGCGAUAAUGUACGUGUUGAGUGUACCGCUUAUUCUGUCCCUGCGGCAGAUCACGUCAUUUGGACGUUUAACGGGAAAGAAGUGGACGUACACGAUCAGGACUUCUCCAUCCUCGAGGACCCCAUCCCGGAGGGCAUCAAGUCCACCCUGAUCAUCAGGGAGUCGCAGGGCAGACACUUCGGUAACUACAAUUGCACGGUGUCGAAUGCUUACGGAACGGACGUGGUCGAAAUCAAUUUGAUACCGCAAAUUACCGUUUCAGAAAACUUCCCAAUACUUAUCGUGAUUGUGGGCGUCGUCGGGGCCAUCAUAGUUCUCGUCAUUGUCGUCAUGAUCGUCUUCCUUUGCCAAAGACAGGGAAACAAGAAAUCUCAGCCUGAUGGAGAAAAUAACACAAUGGAGAAGCAGUGCAAAGAGUCGGAUAGAAGUUCCAACAUUUCCGAUCUUAAAAUAGAUCUGAGGACGGGAUCUUCGGUCAGUAACGUCCAUUGUGACGAUUAUGUGCCGGGAAUCGAAUCAGAAACGGGCAGCGAAUCGGUUAUAACAAGAAUAGGGGUUCCAUUGGCAGGACCGGUGGCUAUUUCGAACCAGGACAUUUACAGGUACUCGGCGGAUUAUACGGAUGCCAAUUUUGCCUCAAAAGACGGGCAAAACAAUAACGGUUACGUACCGUAUGUCGAUUACGCUCGAGAUUACAACCCUCCAAUGCCUCAACCUCCUCCCAUGGAAUCAUCAGAGAGCUUACAGUCCAGAGCGCUCCAAUUAAACGCCAUGCAAGCCCCUCAUUACACAAUCUCGUCCACCAUAACACUAAACGACCUUAACAGUAGCAGCAUUCCUAACGGACACACGACAAUGGGGGGCUCCAUAGAUCCCCGUUACAGUGCGGCCUACGGAAACCCCUAUUUGAGGAGUUCUAGCGUCGGCUUGCCCACGCCAAAUACCGCGAAUCCGGUGGCCACACCGGCGCCCCCGCCCUAUUCAAGGGACACAUCCUCCACCUCCCGUACCUUAGUGAACUGUAGUAAUGCCGCGAUGAACAUUUGUGCGGGCAGUGCAGCAGCGAACGGUGUUGCGGUCACGGCGGCUACCCCCCAGCUGACACGACUGCCGAACUCGCCCACCAAUCACCAGUACAUAACGACGACGAAGAGGGGGGCGUUAGCGACGCACGUGUGAGAAGCGGCCCUCGUCGAAACGACGAACACGAAAAGACUGACGUUUGUAAUUAUUUAAAUUGAAGUUUCGAACGACGAAUUUUUAUAGUAACGUUUCGAUUUUUUAUGCAGGAAUAGUAGUUAGAAAGCAGAAGAAGUAGUAACGUAGAGAAUGGCCUCCUCCGAAGUCGCCCAGAGGUAGGUGACGAGGCCAUAGUAAAGGAUAAUAAUCCCCCUGUUAGGACAAUUUUUUCAAAUUAAAUAAUAAUGGAAGAGUUUGCCCGUCUGUAGGAACGAAACAUUUGUCAGUAGAACGUUGUUUGGAUAAUGAACAAACGAAAUUAAGUUCUUCCUGCUACCGUCUGAUAUCCUCUAGGUCCCAGGAAACCGGCGAUAGAUAGUUACGAAAAAAUAGAAACAAGAAAAUGAAAUUCCAAAAGUGUACUAUAUAUACAAGAGUUUGUUGUUUU